This 110-nucleotide ribosomal RNA is filed under the name uncultured bacterium. RNAcentral's name for it is "partial 16S ribosomal RNA". It matches the Rfam family "Bacterial small subunit ribosomal RNA", at positions 1360 to 1482 of the family's 1533-position model. The record is from RNAcentral.
CGUUGAAUACGUUCCCGGGUCUUGUACACACCGCCCGUCAUACCACGAAAGUCGGUAGCACCCGAAAUGGUCACUUGUUGACCCCUAAGGUGAGAUCGAUGAUUGGGGUA